GGAUGCCUACGGGGCGCAGCAGUGGGGGAUAUUGCACAAUGGGGGGAACCCUGAUGCAGCGACGCCGCGUGGGAGAAGAAGCGCCUCGGCGCGUAAAGCCCUGUCAGCAGGGAAGAAAAUGACGGUACCUGAGGAAGAAGCCCCGGCUAACUACGUGCCAGCAGCCGCGGUAAUACGUAGGGGGCAAGCGUUAUCCGGAUUUACUGGGUGUAAAGGGGGCGCAGACGGCGAUGCAAGCCUGGAGUGAAAGCCCGGGGCCCAAC
RNAcentral lists this ribosomal RNA (263 nucleotides) under uncultured bacterium. Its description in RNAcentral is "partial 16S ribosomal RNA". It matches the Rfam family "Bacterial small subunit ribosomal RNA", at positions 333 to 613 of the family's 1533-position model. The record is from RNAcentral.